This is a long non-coding RNA of Phasianus colchicus (ring-necked pheasant), 2103 nucleotides long. RefSeq lists it as uncharacterized. NCBI's taxonomy places the organism in Eukaryota, Metazoa, Chordata, Aves, Galliformes, Phasianidae. The record is from RefSeq and is a predicted model, not a curated record.
UGGUGCUCUUCUGAGGCUCUCACUGGUUGCUGGAAGAGGUCACUCUAUGGAGGCAAGAAGAUGACUUUGGAUGCCAAAAAGAGCAGCUCAUCAUAAACACUAUCACUUUUCCUGCCUUGUCCACUGGAGCUGUGCAGUGAUCAUCUUGAAGACUCCAAGCCAGAAUGGCAGAUCUUGAUUCCUCAGGAAGUGGAGACGCCCUUCUCCAGGCACUCAUGAAGGCUAUUUAGCUUUCCAAGCUCAUACAACUCUGCAGGCACAGAUACAUCUGUGCAAGUGUUUGAAAAAAGGUUUGACAAGACAGGGAAGGCCAAAAGGAAAUAAAGUAGGAAUUACCACUACUAGGACUGUCCUAUGAUCCAAAACUCCCUUUAUGAGUAGUAAAAACAAUCCUAACUUCUCAUACAUCAUAAUGACUUAGGAUGGCCAGGUCAGCUUGCUUUCAUGACUUGGUGAACCUGCUGGCUGACCAGCCAAACGCAUAGAUCUUUUCAGUGAAUGAACACAGCACUGUAUGGGGACUGAAAUAAAGCAAAAUACUGAUCUCUGAGUACAAAUGUACAGGCAGCAGCGAGGAGCACUCACCUUCCAAAGGACUGCUUUCUGCAGAGGAAUGUCCCUGGACAGGAAACUUUUGGGUUGUGUGUUGUGUCUCCAACACUGUGGAGAGACUUCCAGGAAAAUGCCUUGCAACAGCUUGAAGCUGCUGCUUCUACUCAACUGCCCAGAUGUGCGCUAUGGCCCUGAGCCACUUUCAACAGGAGAAGAUGACCCACAAGUGACCAUUUAAGCUCCUUCUCUAUCCAAUUUGGUUCAGCCACGUGGCAUCUGCCUUCCACUGCACUGCCACAGAUCUGCGCACAGCAAAUCCCUGCCUAAUAAUGAGUGCUGGGCUCAGUGCAUGCUGUGAUGAUGCAAGGUGGCUAUCUGCUGCUUGGAAAUCACAGAAGUGCGUGGAAAUGCAGAAGGGUUGGAGGGUGUGUUAGGGGGGACCUGUGUCCCUGGCCUAUAGCAUCCCUCGGAGCAUCCCAUGAAAGCCCUGGAGGGUGUAUAGUCCAGGAUUGGAGCAACGCACUGAAGAUAUCUACCUUUAAUGCUGUGUGUGCAUUUCAGGAGUUGAAAAAAAAAAAAAAAAAAAAAAACAGCUCAAGGCAAUGUAGACAAAGCAAUUUAAAAGGAAACAGAUUAAAGACAGUCAUGUGAGUGCAGCUGGGUCCUAGUAGUUAUGCCAUAUGCAUUUAUAGGUAGAUAUAUAUCUGGCAAAGAUCCCUCCCUCUCCUUCCCUGCGGGAUAUAAAUCUUGUGGAGUGCUAUUCAUGCUGCCACCCACCCAAUACUGAGGGGACCGGCGCAUCAUCUGAGGCUAUUCUGACACACAGGGUUUCCAAACUCUAGCAACAGAGUGUUGACAAGGAGGCUCCUAGGUUUUAUCUGAAAUCUGCUGAAUUCAAUAGAGCAGCCUGAGAAAAGACUCAAGGGGUCUAAGCUUGCAACAGUCAAAGUUAAGGCAGGCUGAAUGGCAGAGAUUUGGAUGGCUUUCCCAGUCUCCAUGUGCUUUUGCUGCUACUCAUUUCCUCAUCUGUAUCUGCAGCAUAACUGCUAAGUGCCAAUAGGGGCAUUUAUUCUGGGGUAGAGGGUGUGGCCAGUGCUGAUGGCUGCUAAGGGUAUGAAAAUGCAGAACAGCUGCCUGUAGAAGUGAGUUUUGAACUCCAAGCUGUUUCAUUUCCAGCUGAGCGCAUUUUCCCUUAUUUUCCUGCAUACAGAAAGAACAUUUUCUCUUGUGUCUAAGUGCCACUCCUUGUCUCUACAAUACAACAGAACAAAUAGCCUAAUCAGACUGAAAUGCAGAGCAUGCUGAAAAAUUGGGAACACUCAGGACAUAGUCAGUGAAGGUAAAAGUCUCCCUUGUUGUAGGAAGUGAUAAAUCCCAUAGAAAGAGUUACAGAAAUGGAAGGGCAGAACUGGAGUGAUGCAAAGGAGCAAGGAUUAUGGAAGGUGAACAUCCCUGGGCUCUCCUGCAGAUGGUGGGAUCACCUGCAGGAACACAGCCUGGUGCUGGUCCGAGAAGCAAAGCAUAUCUUCCAACCAGUACUCUCCCAAGAUC